ACGAACGCUGGCGGCGUGCUUAACACAUGCAAGUCGAACGGUGAUCUCGGUGCUUGCACCGGGUGAUCAGUGGCGAACGGGUGAGUAACACGUGAGUAACCUGCCCCCGACUCUGGGAUAACCCCGGGAAAUCGGAGCUAAUACCGGAUACGAGACGCACACGCAUGUGUAGCGUCUGGAAAGAAUUUCGGUCGGGGAUGGACUCGCGGCCUAUCAGCUAGUUGGUGGGGUAACGGCCCACCAAGGCGACGACGGGUAGCCGGCCUGAGAGGGCGACCGGCCACACUGGGACUGAGACACGGCCCAGACUCCUACGGGAGGCAGCAGUGGGGAAUAUUGCACAAUGGGCGAAAGCCUGAUGCAGCGACGCCGCGUGGGGGAUGAAGGCCUUCGGGUUGUAAACCCCUUUCAGCAGGGAAGAAGCGAAAGUGACGGUACCUGCAGAAGAAGCGCCGGCUAACUACGU
This 466-nucleotide ribosomal RNA is filed under the name uncultured bacterium. RNAcentral describes it as "bacterial SSU rRNA". It matches the Rfam family "Bacterial small subunit ribosomal RNA", at positions 29 to 506 of the family's 1533-position model. The record is from RNAcentral.